Molecule: long non-coding RNA, 1772 nt
Organism: Numida meleagris (helmeted guineafowl)
Lineage: Eukaryota; Metazoa; Chordata; Aves; Galliformes; Numididae
Exons: 5
Source: RefSeq, a predicted model, not a curated record
AAAGAAGGUCCGUUGACUCAACACCUGGUCAGCUGCUCUCAUGUUCUCAACAAAAGCACCAAACUUAUGUGGAAGACCUUAAGUGGAUGCAAUUGUCACUGCAGUUGGAAGCCAAUCAACGCGUUGUGAGUGGGAGCCCGCUGGUACUUUCCAAUGGUCCUUGAUUAAAAAGGAAGCUCUUGGCUAUCUUCAAGCAGCAGGAGAGGAAACAGCACGGUGUAGCCAGCAUUUGGCCAACAGGGAAAGGAUUUACAAGAAAACAGGAGUAGGAAGUAGAAAGAGCAGCCAGGACUCUCGCACAAGCAGAAAUACAGAUAGCAAUGCAGUUACUUACACUGGCAUCGUGGAGAUAGAGAAAUCCAAACUAACAAUGAACACUGAGAGCCUGAACUUCUGUAAGUGUGGUAGAGCAAGCCUGUAAUGCUGUAACAGGACAGGAGGAAGCUUACCUUUGUUGCAAAAUGCAGAUUUACUGUUCUCCAUGGCUGCAGCAGUAAAUAUUCUCAGGUAGAGCAUGUCAGAUUGUUUACUUCAGUUAUGUAAGAGAAUGCACACAAGAAACAACUCUCUGACAGCCCACAGACUUUCACCCAAAAGCAGUAUCUGCGACAACACCGGUGUUGCAGAAGUAAUAAUAAAUCACAAGCUGAGACUGAUCAUCUGGAGCAGGUUCCUUUUAAGCUACAGCCUGUCCUGCUGCUAUUAAAGUCAGAGACCAUUCCGUGCUCUGUCUUUUUGUCACUGAUGCAGAAAAUGGACUUUCUCAGCCUUCAGAGGCAACCUGGUAUCCACACUACUAGACACAUUUUCAGAAUAGUGUUUUACUCAGCCUGCCUGGCUGAUACACUGCCCUGAAAAACGAGGGCUGUGCAAUGCUGGCAGUGGGUGCAGCUACAGCACCUCCUGCAACUGAUUCUUCUAGGAAAAAAGUUCAUUUGGGAAGGACAAAGAAUACCAUAAUCAAGCAACCAGCAGUAACCAGAUGCUCCAUUUGUGGGGAAGUAUAUAUUUUUUUAACUUGGAUAUUCAUGCCCUAUAACAACUAAACCCAUGUAAGUGGGACCGCAACUCACAGAAUUAUUGAAUAACUGAAGAUACCUGGAAUUUGUCAUUGAACAGAGGCAGUGUUUCUCCCUGUCACAUAUGAACAUGCUUUGCCUGCAUAAAGAGAGAUGUUGGGCACCUCUGUGAUGGGAAAGCCUGUAAAAGAAUGGAGAGGGGAAAAAAAGGAGGAAAAACAAACACUUGUUUAUAGGCGGUGUCAGGAAAAGAAAUAACCUCCGCAACAAUGCCUGGGCCUCCAGGGCUGUGGGGGUGGCACUUUCCACCUGCACAAAAUUUACUGGAAACAUAAAAUCCAACAAGGAGAAAUGUAUCAUUUGUGCUGAUAGUCUACUACAGAGAUUCUGCUGGGAAAAUUACCUCUCAUCACUCGUUUCCUCCUCGUGCGGGAUCACCUCUACUCUUCCCAUCCAGAAAGACUGGUUAAUCAGGGUCCAUACCCACGCGGCCAUGUUGUCCUCUUGCAUUAUGGUAAGUGGACAAUACCCAAUCUCAGGCAAGGUUUGGCCAGGACACCAGGUUCAUUUCAUCUCCUGGACGUGGUUUUGAGACAGACUCAAAGAGGACCGUUAAAAUAUCCAAAAUGGUAACAGUCAUUAAGAGCGCUUCUGAAUGUGUUAAGAGUUUCACGAUUCCUCUUUAGACUUAUUUCAUAUUACACUAAGGAUUUGUUAAAUUAUUUUCCUGGGUGGUAGCUUUUUGUAUUUUCC